RNAcentral lists this transfer RNA (100 nucleotides) under Pseudomonas wadenswilerensis. RNAcentral describes it as "tRNA-Thr". Lineage: Bacteria; Pseudomonadati; Pseudomonadota; Gammaproteobacteria; Pseudomonadales; Pseudomonadaceae. RNAcentral also lists the same sequence under 1 other name. The record is from RNAcentral.
CGUCGACCUGGGCGACUUUCGCCGGGUCCACGGUGGUCUGGUAGGCCACCGUCAGGUCGGCCGCCUGGGCAAACCAGCUGGUGCCGGCCAGGGUCAGGGC